CUUUCUGCAAUUUGGCACCACAUGCUGAACAUUGCCCGUGAAGUGUAGAAGCACCCGAAAAAUUCUAAUGUAUUGGCAAAAGUCGUUCAAAGUUCGCAGAAAAAGUUGCUAAAGUGUGCGCAUCGGAUUGCGGAUUGUGUGUUCGAUUGGGAAUCGCAAAUCAAAAAGAGGUCAACCGUUGUGGAAUCGAUUCAGCUAGGCACACACCGCGUGGUACAACAAGGUGGUGGCAUCACUGUCGGGAUAGGCCCAGAGAAGGAGCAGCACCCCUUCAACAACGCACAUCAACUCGCCUGCAGGGGCAGUUUCGAUUCACACGGCUCGUCGCUAACUUUGUAGUAUAUAUCCUCGCAACGGUCAAAGCAAUCGUUGUUUAAGUCCCACAGUACGAGCAGCAGAGUAUCUAAGCCAACAUGUCGUUCGACGAAACUUCUGCGGAUCGGAAUGUGGAGAUCUGGAAAAUCAAAAAGCUUAUCAAGAGCUUGGAAAUGGCCAGGGGUAACGGAACCAGCAUGAUCUCGUUGAUCAUACCGCCGAAGGAUCAGAUCAGUCGGGUCAGUAAGAUGCUGGCAGACGAGUUUGGCACAGCCUCGAACAUCAAAUCGCGCGUCAACCGCCUGUCCGUGCUCGGUGCCAUCACGUCUGUCCAGCACAGGCUGAAGCUCUACACCAAAGUGCCUCCGAAUGGUUUAGUGAUUUACUGUGGUACGAUCGUGACCGAAGAGGGCAAGGAAAAGAAGGUCAAUAUCGACUUCGAACCGUUCAAACCAAUCAAUACCUCUCUGUAUCUGUGCGACAACAAAUUCCACACCGAAGCGCUCACUGCACUGCUUGCCGAUGACAAUAAGUUCGGUUUCAUCGUGAUGGACGGUAACGGUGCACUCUUCGGUACGCUGCAGGGCAAUACUCGAGAAGUGCUGCACAAAUUCACCGUCGAUCUGCCGAAGAAGCACGGCCGCGGUGGUCAGUCUGCGCUGCGUUUUGCCCGGUUGCGAAUGGAAAAGCGACACAACUACGUGCGAAAGGUGGCGGAGGUGGCCACGCAGCUGUUCAUCACCAACGACAAGCCCAACAUCGCCGGCCUGAUUCUGGCUGGUAGUGCCGAUUUUAAAACCGAGCUGAGUCAGUCCGACAUGUUCGAUCCGAGGUUGCAAUCAAAAGUGAUCAAGCUGGUGGAUGUGUCAUACGGUGGGGAGAAUGGUUUUAACCAGGCCAUCGAACUUGCUGCGGAAUCGCUACAGAACGUGAAGUUUAUUCAGGAGAAGAAACUGAUCGGACGCUACUUUGACGAAAUUUCGCAGGAUACCGGAAAGUACUGCUUCGGUGUCGAAGACACGUUAAAGGCGUUGGAGCUGGGGUCGGUAGAGACGCUGAUUUGCUGGGAAAACCUCGAUAUACAGCGUUACGUGCUAAAGAAUCAUGCGAGCGCAACUUCGACCACAGUAUUACACUUAACGCCCGAGCAGGAAAAGGACAAGUCUCACUUCACGGACAAAGAGAGUGGUGUCGAAAUGGAAUUGGUCGAGUCGCAGCCGCUCCUGGAGUGGCUCGCGAACAACUACAAGUGCUUCGGUGCAACAUUGGAAAUCAUUACCGACAAAUCACAGGAGGGCAGUCAGUUUGUGCGCGGAUUCGGUGGCAUAGGAGGAAUUCUACGUUACAAAGUCGAUUUUCAAUCCUUGCAAGCGGACGAACCGCUCGACGAUGUCGAUCUGGAUGAUUACUAAAUAGUUCUUUAAUUUAGCUUCCAACACUACCAUAACAUCCGCCGACGCCGCCAUAACAGUCCCGGCGUUGGCCAAGUCUCGCACCGAGUCUGUGUUGGGCGCGCGUUGUCGAGCCCAGCGCCUUGGAGCGCAUCCGUUUGUGGGUGUGUUUUUCCCUUGCGUUUCACCCCAACCCACCCGACUUGUUUUGAUGACGGUCAGUUAGAGCACAGUUUUCGUCCUUCUUCUCGCUUGACGACUGGGACUGGGCCGACCCCCCAGGGGUGGCGUAAUCUGCGUGUAGUGCAUGGUUUUCUUGUGUUGUGUGUUGUGUGCGUGUGCAACACGCCGUAAGCGAAGCGGCGGGCUAGUGAUGCUGGGAUUUGAACGUUCGAGAGCAAAACAAGACAAACAGAAAAGAAGAAAAAAAGAAAAAAACAUCAACAAACAACAAAGCAUAUAUUUAACUAUUCUCCAAAGCCCCUACUUCGCGGUUUUUCUUCAAUUGAACUGUGUAAUAUCGAUGCUAAUUUGUAGCGUACUUUCCAAAUAAGAGGUGUCCUUCGCUACAAGGUAGAUUUUCAAAGUAUGCAACUGGAUGAACUGGAUAACGAUUGUUUCGACCUCGAAGACUACUAAUUACGAUGCACCCGAGAUACGUUUUGUUUAUUUUGCCUCUAUCGGUAAUACGGAAACGAGAUACUAACUGAAGGAAACAACACAAUGGUGAACGUGUGGGGAGCUUUAGUGGAUGGCACAGGGCAGUGGAAGGUUGACGUACUGUGGUAGCGAAAAAUUCCCAUUCAGCUCCUCCUCGGUUGUUCGCUUCGGGCAAAGGGAGCAUUUUGCUGCGUGAAACAAGUAACCAAACCCCCCUCGGCCAAUUAAGAAGUAAGCCACUGCAAAAGCGAAAACAUCCCUCCCGCAGCACGAUUUUAAAAUAAGGGAAAAUUAUACAAAGAAAUGAGAAAACUUGCAAAGUAACCCCUAAUUAAGUACGAUUGAGGGUAACUCAUACGAAACAAACAGAAAAGAAGAGAAAAAUCGCAAAACAAACACUUCACUAUCCAGCAGGACAACGGAAGGAAACGACGAAAACAAUAAUAAAAAAAGAAAUUAUAUAAAAGAAACACACAGAUAUGGGCGAUUUUGUUUCAGUCCAAAAAUGAUGAUUUCACCCUAAAACAAGGAAAUGCAACGUUUCCGUGUUUCCUUUCUGAGCACGCUUGUUUCUGGUGAGUUCUACAUCGUAGCAGUCGAAUGUUGGUCCGUUUUGUUACUGUUUAGUUAUUUAGUAAGGGUUUUUUACAUGAUAGUCAUGAUGAGCGUUUGACGCUUAAGUAUAGCCAGCUUAGAUCGAACCAAAUCUAAAAUCAACUUUUUUUUUUAAUCAUGUUUAUUUGAUAAAACUUAAAUAAUGAUUAAUUUUCAAUUGUUUGACAACGCAUACUUUUGGAAACAAAGUCUUAAGCAAACUUGCUUCUCAUAUUCAGAAUAAGUUGCCGAUGUUGUGGGUAAAUCGUUGCUAAAUAAAU
This is an RNA transcript of Anopheles bellator, 3241 nucleotides long. It is a transcript of the gene named eukaryotic peptide chain release factor subunit 1, with no coding region annotated. The transcript is spliced from 9 exons. Lineage: Eukaryota; Metazoa; Arthropoda; Insecta; Diptera; Culicidae. The record is from RefSeq and is a predicted model, not a curated record.